This 494-nucleotide ribosomal RNA is filed under the name uncultured soil bacterium. Its description in RNAcentral is "bacterial SSU rRNA". It matches the Rfam family "Bacterial small subunit ribosomal RNA", at positions 26 to 524 of the family's 1533-position model. The record is from RNAcentral.
AGGACGAACGCUGGCGGCGUGCUUAACACAUGCAGGUCAAGGGGGCCCAGCAAUGGGCAACCGGCGAACGGGUGGCGUAACACGUGAGCAACCUACCGAACUGUGGGGGAUAGCCGGCCUAACGGCCGAGUAAUACCGCAUACGCUCUCAGUGAGGCAUUUCAUUGAGAGGAAACCUACGGGACAGAUCGAGGGGCUCGCGGCCUAUCAGCUAGUUGGCGAGGUAACGGCUCACCAAGGCAACGACGGGUAGCUGGUCUGAGAGGAUGGCCAGCCACAUUGGACUGAGAUACGGCCAGACUCUACGGAGGCAGCAGUGGGAAUCUUGCGCAAUGGCUAACGGCUGACGCAGCGACGCCGCGUGUGGGAAUGAAAGCUCUUCGGAGUGUAAAACCACUGUUGCCCGGGACGAACAAGCUCCGAUUAAAUCGAGCCUGACGGUAACCGGUGAGGAAGCACCGGCUAAACGUCCGUGCCAAGGCAAGCCGCGGUAAA